Molecule: long non-coding RNA, 790 nt
Organism: Beta vulgaris subsp. vulgaris (sugar beet)
Lineage: Eukaryota; Viridiplantae; Streptophyta; Magnoliopsida; Caryophyllales; Amaranthaceae
Exons: 4
Source: RefSeq, a predicted model, not a curated record
UCCUCAAGCUACUACUACAGUUUUACUUGCUGAGAAAGAUCAGGGCAAAAAGCGCAAGAGAUCUGGAACACAAGGUGCAUCUAAAUCACCAUCACCUAAAGGCGCUGCCAAGAUCCGGAAGAAGACAGGUGAUGCUUCUGUAAAAGAAGGGAAAAAGACUGCUCCUGAAACUGAUGAUGAGUCUGAGGAUGAGGAAGAAAAUGAGGAAGGAGAGAAAGAGAAUGGAGUUGCAGAACAAUCAGAAGAUGAGAAAUCAGAGCCUUUUGAGAGUGAAGAGAAAAAGGAUAUGUCUGACGCUGACUCUGAAGAAGAUACGCCAAAAGAGAAAGCGAGUUCGGGAAAAGCAAAAAGAGACACCAAAAAAAGUCUCCAGAUGUAGAAUCUUCAGGAAAAGCUGUUAGCAAUCAGUUUUCACUCCCAAAAAAGCCAGAUUGGUGCCAAAAGGAACACAAAGAAAAUCAUCAUCAAACCAUUCCAAGGCUAUUGAGAGCGAAGACAAAAGUCCCAAGGUGUUUUCUAGAAAGAAAAAAGUUGAAGAGCCAAAGAAAGAAAAGUCUUCAGCUUCGAAGAAAUCGGCUACAAAGCACAAACCUGUUACAAAGGAAAAAUCUGCUACAAAAGACAAAUCUGCUGCAAAGGACAAAUCCGGUAAAAAGGCCAUGAAAGGGAAGGAGAAAAGUAAAGAAGACAAAUUGAAGCCAAGUGACGAUGAACUAAGAAAUGCAAUAUGUGACAUUCUUAAAGAAGUCGACUUUAAUACGGUAAGAAUCGGAUGUUUCUAAUUGCUCUU